Molecule: ribosomal RNA, 614 nt
Filed under: Bacillus pumilus
Lineage: Bacteria; Bacillati; Bacillota; Bacilli; Caryophanales; Bacillaceae
Description: bacterial SSU rRNA
Rfam family: Bacterial small subunit ribosomal RNA
Source: RNAcentral
UGGGCGUAAAGGGCUCGCAGGCGGUUUCUUAAGUCUGAUGUGAAAGCCCCCGGCUCAACCGGGGAGGGUCAUUGGAAACUGGGAAACUUGAGUGCAGAAGAGGAGAGUGGAAUUCCACGUGUAGCGGUGAAAUGCGUAGAGAUGUGGAGGAACACCAGUGGCGAAGGCGACUCUCUGGUCUGUAACUGACGCUGAGGAGCGAAAGCGUGGGGAGCGAACAGGAUUAGAUACCCUGGUAGUCCACGCCGUAAACGAUGAGUGCUAAGUGUUAGGGGGUUUCCGCCCCUUAGUGCUGCAGCUAACGCAUUAAGCACUCCGCCUGGGGAGUACGGUCGCAAGACUGAAACUCAAAGGAAUUGACGGGGGCCCGCACAAGCGGUGGAGCAUGUGGUUUAAUUCGAAGCAACGCGAAGAACCUUACCAGGUCUUGACAUCCUCUGACAACCCUAGAGAUAGGGCUUUCCCUUCGGGGACAGAGUGACAGGUGGUGCAUGGUUGUCGUCAGCUCGUGUCGUGAGAUGUUGGGUUAAGUCCCGCAACGAGCGCAACCCUUGAUCUUAGUUGCCAGCAUUCAGUUGGGCACUCUAAGGUGACUGCCGGUGACAAACCGGAGG